CGAAAGUGUAAACAAAUAGUGAUGCCUUAAAUGGCAAAAACGAAGAAAAACUAUUUUAAAUCACAUCAACAGUCGUGGAAGCAAAAAAAAUAAAAAAAAAUUAUAAACAAAUCGACAGCAACUCGUUUAGCAAUCACUUAAUUGCCGCUAAACUAACAAAGUACUUGCACGUAUACAGCUUGAUGAUGGAAAUUUAUAGUUAUUUUAAUGGAAACUAACCGAAUGUAUCGCACAGCAAUUGACCCGAAUACAAUUGCAAUCGUGCAAAACACAAACUGUGCGCAUUGAGGGUGCUGUAUUCAAAUAACACUUGAAAUUGUAAUUGCCAUUAAGUGCCUUAUCGACAAUCGCUUUCGAUGGCUGGCGAAUUGUAAACAAACAAAUUAAACUGAAACUAUCAAGUUAAUGAUGGCAAACGAAAACAAAGCAGCCAUAUAAAUGCAUACCAUUAUAAGUAUGUAUUUAUAUGCCAGAUGUCAGCUGGUAAGAGUGUUAAAGCAACGAAAUUGGGGUUAACGAUAAUGCAAGUUUAUGAAAAUUCAUAAUGACGAUAACACAUAAUAAUCUUUUAUGUCAAUCUAGUUACAUAAAUGCAUACAAGUAAAAUCGAAGUACAAAAUCUUUUAAAAAGGAAAGCUAAACAAAUUUCAUGCAGCCAAAGAACACUAACUCACAAAAUCCCAGUUAAGCCAAAUCGUUUAAACCAGGAAUUGAAAACAAUAGUUAUUUUAGAAAUUUCAAUUCAAAAAGUCAGUCGG
Rhagoletis zephyria (snowberry fruit fly) is the source of this 758-nucleotide long non-coding RNA. RefSeq lists it as uncharacterized. The record is from RefSeq and is a predicted model, not a curated record. NCBI's taxonomy places the organism in Eukaryota, Metazoa, Arthropoda, Insecta, Diptera, Tephritidae.